Molecule: ribosomal RNA, 2924 nt
Filed under: Escherichia coli 96.0497
Lineage: Bacteria; Pseudomonadati; Pseudomonadota; Gammaproteobacteria; Enterobacterales; Enterobacteriaceae
Description: bacterial LSU rRNA
Rfam family: Bacterial large subunit ribosomal RNA
Source: RNAcentral
GAAACAUCUUCGGGUUGUGAGGUUAAGCGACUAAGCGUACACGGUGGAUGCCCUGGCAGUCAGAGGCGAUGAAGGACGUGCUAAUCUGCGAUAAGCGUCGGUAAGGUGAUAUGAACCGUUAUAACCGGCGAUUUCCGAAUGGGGAAACCCAGUGUGAUUCGUCACACUAUCAUUAACUGAAUCCAUAGGUUAAUGAGGCGAACCGGGGGAACUGAAACAUCUAAGUACCCCGAGGAAAAGAAAUCAACCGAGAUUCCCCCAGUAGCGGCGAGCGAACGGGGAGCAGCCCAGAGCCUGAAUCAGUGUGUGUGUUAGUGGAAGCGUCUGGAAAGGCGCGCGAUACAGGGUGACAGCCCCGUACACAAAAAUGCACAUGCUGUGAGCUCGAUGAGUAGGGCGGGACACGUGGUAUCCUGUCUGAAUAUGGGGGGACCAUCCUCCAAGGCUAAAUACUCCUGACUGACCGAUAGUGAACCAGUACCGUGAGGGAAAGGCGAAAAGAACCCCGGCGAGGGGAGUGAAAAAGAACCUGAAACCGUGUACGUACAAGCAGUGGGAGCACGCUUAGGCGUGUGACUGCGUACCUUUUGUAUAAUGGGUCAGCGACUUAUAUUCUGUAGCAAGGUUAACCGAAUAGGGGAGCCGAAGGGAAACCGAGUCUUAACUGGGCGUUAAGUUGCAGGGUAUAGACCCGAAACCCGGUGAUCUAGCCAUGGGCAGGUUGAAGGUUGGGUAACACUAACUGGAGGACCGAACCGACUAAUGUUGAAAAAUUAGCGGAUGACUUGUGGCUGGGGGUGAAAGGCCAAUCAAACCGGGAGAUAGCUGGUUCUCCCCGAAAGCUAUUUAGGUAGCGCCUCGUGAAUUCAUCUCCGGGGGUAGAGCACUGUUUCGGCAAGGGGGUCAUCCCGACUUACCAACCCGAUGCAAACUGCGAAUACCGGAGAAUGUUAUCACGGGAGACACACGGCGGGUGCUAACGUCCGUCGUGAAGAGGGAAACAACCCAGACCGCCAGCUAAGGUCCCAAAGUCAUGGUUAAGUGGGAAACGAUGUGGGAAGGCCCAGACAGCCAGGAUGUUGGCUUAGAAGCAGCCAUCAUUUAAAGAAAGCGUAAUAGCUCACUGGUCGAGUCGGCCUGCGCGGAAGAUGUAACGGGGCUAAACCAUGCACCGAAGCUGCGGCAGCGACGCUUAUGCGUUGUUGGGUAGGGGAGCGUUCUGUAAGCCUGUGAAGGUGUACUGUGAGGUAUGCUGGAGGUAUCAGAAGUGCGAAUGCUGACAUAAGUAACGAUAAAGCGGGUGAAAAGCCCGCUCGCCGGAAGACCAAGGGUUCCUGUCCAACGUUAAUCGGGGCAGGGUGAGUCGACCCCUAAGGCGAGGCCGAAAGGCGUAGUCGAUGGGAAACAGGUUAAUAUUCCUGUACUUGGUGUUACUGCGAAGGGGGGACGGAGAAGGCUAUGUUGGCCGGGCGACGGUUGUCCCGGUUUAAGCGUGUAGGCUGGUUUUCCAGGCAAAUCCGGAAAAUCAAGGCUGAGGCGUGAUGACGAGGCACUACGGUGCUGAAGCAACAAAUGCCCUGCUUCCAGGAAAAGCCUCUAAGCAUCAGGUAACAUCAAAUCGUACCCCAAACCGACACAGGUGGUCAGGUAGAGAAUACCAAGGCGCUUGAGAGAACUCGGGUGAAGGAACUAGGCAAAAUGGUGCCGUAACUUCGGGAGAAGGCACGCUGAUAUGUAGGUGAAGCGACUUGCUCGUGGAGCUGAAAUCAGUCGAAGAUACCAGCUGGCUGCAACUGUUUAUUAAAAACACAGCACUGUGCAAACACGAAAGUGGACGUAUACGGUGUGACGCCUGCCCGGUGCCGGAAGGUUAAUUGAUGGGGUCAGCGCAAGCGAAGCUCUUGAUCGAAGCCCCGGUAAACGGCGGCCGUAACUAUAACGGUCCUAAGGUAGCGAAAUUCCUUGUCGGGUAAGUUCCGACCUGCACGAAUGGCGUAAUGAUGGCCAGGCUGUCUCCACCCGAGACUCAGUGAAAUUGAACUCGCUGUGAAGAUGCAGUGUACCCGCGGCAAGACGGAAAGACCCCGUGAACCUUUACUAUAGCUUGACACUGAACAUUGAGCCUUGAUGUGUAGGAUAGGUGGGAGGCUUUGAAGUGUGGACGCCAGUCUGCAUGGAGCCGACCUUGAAAUACCACCCUUUAAUGUUUGAUGUUCUAACGUUGACCCGUAAUCCGGGUUGCGGACAGUGUCUGGUGGGUAGUUUGACUGGGGCGGUCUCCUCCUAAAGAGUAACGGAGGAGCACGAAGGUUGGCUAAUCCUGGUCGGACAUCAGGAGGUUAGUGCAAUGGCAUAAGCCAGCUUGACUGCGAGCGUGACGGCGCGAGCAGGUGCGAAAGCAGGUCAUAGUGAUCCGGUGGUUCUGAAUGGAAGGGCCAUCGCUCAACGGAUAAAAGGUACUCCGGGGAUAACAGGCUGAUACCGCCCAAGAGUUCAUAUCGACGGCGGUGUUUGGCACCUCGAUGUCGGCUCAUCACAUCCUGGGGCUGAAGUAGGUCCCAAGGGUAUGGCUGUUCGCCAUUUAAAGUGGUACGCGAGCUGGGUUUAGAACGUCGUGAGACAGUUCGGUCCCUAUCUGCCGUGGGCGCUGGAGAACUGAGGGGGGCUGCUCCUAGUACGAGAGGACCGGAGUGGACGCAUCACUGGUGUUCGGGUUGUCAUGCCAAUGGCACUGCCCGGUAGCUAAAUGCGGAAGAGAUAAGUGCUGAAAGCAUCUAAGCACGAAACUUGCCCCGAGAUGAGUUCUCCCUGACCCUUUAAGGGUCCUGAAGGAACGUUGAAGACGACGACGUUGAUAGGCCGGGUGUGUAAGCGCAGCGAUGCGUUGAGCUAACCGGUACUAAUGAACCGUGAGGCUUAACCUU